Molecule: ribosomal RNA, 250 nt
Filed under: uncultured bacterium
Lineage: Bacteria
Description: partial 16S ribosomal RNA
Rfam family: Bacterial small subunit ribosomal RNA
Source: RNAcentral
UACGGAGGAUCCAAGCGUUAUCCGGAUUUACUGGGCGUAAAGAGUUGCGUAGGUGGUUUAAUAAGCGAAUAGUGAAAUCGUGAGGCUCAACCUUACGGCUAUUGUUCGAACUGUUAGACUUGAGAACGAGAGAGGUGGUUGGAAUUCCUGAUGUAGGGGUAAUAUCCGUAGAUAUCAGGAGGAACACCAAUGGCGAAGGCAGACCACUGGCUCGUUUCUGACACUGAGGCACGAAAGCGUGGGGAGCGAA